AUGCACCGGAGUAUAAAACAAAGCCACUCCUGGGGAGAAGUCCUAGCCGCCGCCUCCCGUCCCACUCGCCUCCCCCUCCUCGUCGCCCUCCUCUCUCUCUCUCUCUCUCUCUCUCUCUCUCCCCAUCGCGCCGGCCGGUUCCGGCCAGCUCCGGCCCGCGCGUCUCCCCCGCGACCCCCGCCUCCUCUCCUGCCGCCGCCGCCGCCGGAGAAGCUCGCCGCCGAUGCCCGUGACCUAGCCCGCGCGUCUCCCCCGCGACCCCCGCCCCCUCUCCUGCCGUCGCCGCCGCCGGAGAAGCUCGCCUCCGCGCCCACAAGCCUCGGAUCCGGCGGGAUUCGGGACGAGGAGGGGUGGAUGAGACGGGGGAGGAGGAGGAGGAGAGUGUGGGGGCGUCUGGGGAGGAAUAUCCCCGCCGCCUCCUCCGCUCCUGACGCAGGGCCUCGAGCCAUGGGGGCGUUCGUUGCAGGAACCUCGCCGCUGGCCUCCCGUGCGCGGCGCCCGGCCCUGGCAGCGCUGACCUCGCCGAUGGCCUCCUGUGCGGUACCUCUUCUUCCCCGACGACGCAUGCCCGCACAUCUCGCCCGCCGCCUCCAGCUACUCGCCGGCUUCGCCACCCGCGCCGCUGCCUGUCUUGCAAUGAGCGCCGGAGCAGCCUACGGACAAGAGUGGCGUUCAAGACAACAUGCGCAGCUUGGGAACCGCUGGCUGAAACUGCAAGUUGUUGUCUCUACCAAUUGGCCUUACCAAGCCGGGCUCCUUCUAUCUCGUGUUAGAGCUUGUAUGUGGUUGAUGGAGGAAGCACGGGGAGGAGCAAAAACAAAUGGUGUUGGAGGAGGAAAAACAAAUGGCGAUCUCCAUGUACAAGGGGCUCAUUGGUCGCUUGGCCUGCUUUUGGUAUAUCAAUGA
RNAcentral lists this ribosomal RNA (906 nucleotides) under Triticum aestivum (bread wheat). Its description in RNAcentral is "partial small subunit ribosomal RNA". Lineage: Eukaryota; Viridiplantae; Streptophyta; Magnoliopsida; Poales; Poaceae. The record is from RNAcentral.